Molecule: long non-coding RNA, 375 nt
Filed under: Carica papaya (papaya)
Lineage: Eukaryota; Viridiplantae; Streptophyta; Magnoliopsida; Brassicales; Caricaceae
Description: long non-coding RNA (CPAP_LNC004783)
Source: RNAcentral
AAAAUCGUCUUAUUAUGUAAGACCUUAUCGGUCCACUCAAGAAUUUCCACGGGUACCUCCUGAUAGGUCAUAUCAGCCUUUAUGUGUACCUCAUCGCAUGGAAUAACAUGAGAAGGAUCAGGGUGGUACUUAUUGAGCAUCCAAACAUGAAAGACAUCAUGCAGACAUGCGAACUCUCAGGAUAGAGUGAGGCAGUAUGUCAUGGGUCCAAUGUACUCAUGAUCAGAAAAGGUCCCACAUAACGAGGGCUAAACUUCUCUCUCUUCUCAAACUGCACCUUGCCUUUAUAGGGUUAGACUUUUAGGAAAACUUGAUCUCCCACGGUAAACUUCAAGGGUUGCCCAUGAUUAUCAAUGUAACUCUUUUGGCGACUCU